CAAGUAGCGUGCAGGACGACUGCCCUAUGGGUUGUAAACUGCUUUUAUCAGGGAAUAAAGUGAGGCACGGGUGCCUUUUUGUAUGUACCUGAUGAAUAAGGACCGGCUAAUUCCGUGCCAGCAGCCGCGGUAAUACGGAAGGUCCGGGCGUUAUCCGGAUUUAUUGGGUUUAAAGGGAGCGCAGGCGGGCUUUUAAGCGUGACGUGAAAUGUGGCGGCUCAACCGCCGAUCUGCGUCGCGAACUGGGGGCCUUGAGUGAGUACGACGUUGGCGGAAUUCGUGGUGUAGCGGUGAAAUGCUUAGAUAUCACGAAGAACCCCGAUUGCGAAGGCAGCCGACGAGUCCUUAACUGACGCUAAAGCUCGAAAGUGCGGGUAUCGAACAGGAUUAGAUACCCUGGUAGUCCGCACGGUAAACGAUGGAUGCCCGCUGUAUGCGAUACACUGUAUGCGGCCAAGAGAAAUCGUUAAGCAUCCCACCUGGGGAGUACGCCGGCAACGGUGAAACUCAAAGGAAUUGACGG
RNAcentral lists this ribosomal RNA (523 nucleotides) under uncultured bacterium. Its description in RNAcentral is "bacterial SSU rRNA". It matches the Rfam family "Bacterial small subunit ribosomal RNA", at positions 393 to 916 of the family's 1533-position model. The record is from RNAcentral.